This 501-nucleotide ribosomal RNA is filed under the name uncultured bacterium. RNAcentral's name for it is "bacterial SSU rRNA". It matches the Rfam family "Bacterial small subunit ribosomal RNA", at positions 30 to 524 of the family's 1533-position model. The record is from RNAcentral.
AUUGAACGCUGGCGGCGUGCCUAACACAUGCAAGUCGAGCGGUAACAGGUGUAGCAAUACAUGCUGACGAGCGGCGAACGGGUGAGUAAUGCUUCGGAAUCUACCCAAUGGUGGGGAAUAACCAGCCGAAAGGUUGGCUAAUACCGCAUACGUCCUACGGGAGAAAGCAGGGGAUCGUAAGACCUUGCGCCAAUGGAUGAGCCGAAGUCGGAUUAGCUAGUUGGUAGGGAACGGCCUACCAAGGCGACGAUCCGUAGCUGGUCUGAGAGGACGACCAGCCACACUGGGACUGAGACACGGCCCAGACUCCUACGGGAGGCAGCAGUGGGGAAUAUUGGACAAUGGGGGAAACCCUGAUCCAGCGACGCCGCGUGUGUGAAGAAGGCCUGCGGGUUGUAAAGCACUUUUAGUGGGGAUGAAAAGUUCAGGGCUAACACCUCUGGAUCUUGACCUAACCCACAGAAAAGCACCGGCUAACUCUGUGCCAGCAGCCGCCGUAAG